CCCGCACAAGCGGAGGACAUGUGGUUUAAUUCGAUGAUACGCGAGGAACCUUACCUGGGCUUUAAAUGUAGAGUGCAUUUUUUAGAGAUAGAAAUUCCCUGGGGCUUUCUGCAAGGUGCUGCAUGGUUGUCGUCAGCUCGUGCCGUGAGGUGUCGGGUUAAGUCCCAUAACGAGCGCAACCCUUAUCGUUAGUUGCCAUCUGGUAAUGCAGGGGACUCUAGCGAAACUGCCACCGUAAGGUGAGAGGAAGGUGGGAUGACGUCAAAUCAGCACGGCCCUUAUGUCCAGGGCUACACACGUGUUACAAUGGUCGGUACAGAGGGCAGCUACCUGGUGACAGGAUGCUAAUCUCGAAAACCGGUCUCAGUUCGGAUCGAAGUCUGCAACUCGACUUCGUGAAGCUGGAUUCGCUAGUAAUCGCGCAUCAGCUAUGGCGCGGUGAAUACGUUCCCGGGCCUU
RNAcentral lists this ribosomal RNA (459 nucleotides) under uncultured Sphingobacteriales bacterium. RNAcentral's name for it is "bacterial SSU rRNA". It matches the Rfam family "Bacterial small subunit ribosomal RNA", at positions 920 to 1382 of the family's 1533-position model. The record is from RNAcentral. Lineage: Bacteria; Pseudomonadati; Bacteroidota; Sphingobacteriia; Sphingobacteriales.